Molecule: long non-coding RNA, 402 nt
Filed under: Rattus norvegicus (Norway rat)
Lineage: Eukaryota; Metazoa; Chordata; Mammalia; Rodentia; Muridae
Description: long non-coding RNA NONRATT011476
Source: RNAcentral
AUCUGCUGCAAGAAGCACUCUUAACCACUUGGCCAUCUCUCCCGUCUCUGGUUUAUAAUUCAUGCAUACAUUGUAUUGGAAACUUUAUAGCACAGCCCAAAUUCUUCCUGUCAGUGGCUUAGAGUGAAUUUAGGAGCAGCGCUGCUGUUUCCUCUGCUGAGAUGCGUGGAAUAAACAGAAGGCAGGAGGAAGGCAACACUGAAGGAGCACGCUAAUGUGGAGUCAAAGACGCACAACCAGUACUGCUGCCCGGAGCGGAGAUGCUUGGCCCCUCUACCGCCUGACUGCAGGUCAGGCAUGCGCAGAUAAUUACACUGCUGCCAGAGACCGAGAAGCACACCAGCAAUAACGAGACAAGAGUCUCACACUCAUAUCUACUAAAAAGUGCAUUCUUUCACCUUC